Molecule: long non-coding RNA, 1042 nt
Filed under: Homo sapiens (human)
Lineage: Eukaryota; Metazoa; Chordata; Mammalia; Primates; Hominidae
Description: HSALNT0273281
Source: RNAcentral
UUUUUGCAUUUUUAAUAGAGAUGGGGUUUCACCAUGUUGUCCAGGCUGGUCUCAAACUCCUGACCUCAGUGAUCCACCUGCCUCGGCCUCCCAAAGUGCUGGGAUUACAGGUGUGAGCCACUGCACCUGGCCCUCUCCCUCACUUUAAAAAGAAAUUUGCGACCAGGCACGGUGGCUCACACCUGUGAUCCCAGCACUUUGGGAGGCCGAGGCAGGUGGAUCAUGAGGUCAGGAGUUCAGGACCAGCCUGGCCAAGAUGGUGAAACCCCAUCUCUACUAAAAAUACAAAAAUUAGCUGGGCAUGGUGGCGCGUGCCUGUAGUCCCAGCCACUCGGGAGGCUGAGGCAAGAGAAUCGCUUGAACCAGGGAGGUGGAGGUUGCAGUGAGCCGAGAUUGCGCCACUGCACUCCAGCCUGGCGACAGAGCAAGACUCCAUCUCAAAAAGAAAAGAAAUUUGCGGCCAGGUGUGGUGGCUCACACCUGUAAUCCCAGCACUUUGGGAAGCUGAGGCAGGUGGAUCACCUGAGGUCAGGAGUUCAAGACCAGCCUGGCCAACAUAGUGAAACCCCAUUCCUACUAAAAAUACAAAAAUUAGCCAGGCAUGACAGUGCACACCUAUAAUCGCAGCUACUUGGGAGUCUGAGUCAGGAGAAUUGCUUGAACCCAGGAGGUGGAGAUUGCAGUGAGCUGAGAUCGCACCAUUGCACUCCAGCCUGGGCAACAGAGUGAGACUCCGUCUCAAAAAAAAGAAAUUUGCUACCAUAUCAGCUCACUUUAAGGUCUGCAUCUGCUUAUGUGAGCCCUAUACCAGGGAAAAGAUCCCCAUGUCUUCCAUAGGAUUGCAAGCCUAAGAAUGUCAUUUCAGUGCUCCAGGUGUACCUACCUCCUGGUAGCUGUUUGCAGAGGACAAGAGAGCUGAGGGCUGGCCGGGUGUGGUGGCUCAUGCCUGUAAUCCCAGCACUUUGGAAGGCCAAGGUGGGCCUCACUUGAGGUGAGGAGUUUGAGACCAGUCUAGCCAAUAUGGUGAAACCCCAUCUCUACU